This 301-nucleotide ribosomal RNA is filed under the name uncultured bacterium. RNAcentral describes it as "partial 16S ribosomal RNA". It matches the Rfam family "Bacterial small subunit ribosomal RNA", at positions 509 to 809 of the family's 1533-position model. The record is from RNAcentral.
CAGUCGCCGCGGUAAUACGUAGGUGGCAAGCGUUGUCCGGAAUUAUUGGGCGUAAAGGGCUCGCAGGCGGUUUCUUAAGUCUGAUGUGAAAGCCCCCGGCUCAACCGGGGAGGGUCAUUGGAAACUGGGAAACUUGAGUGCAGAAGAGGAGAGUGGAAUUCCACGUGUAGCGGUGAAAUGCGUAGAGAUGUGGGGGAACACCAGUGGCGAAGGCGACUCUCUGGUCUGUAACUGACGCUGAGGAGCGAAAGCGUGGGGAGCGAACGGGAUUAGAGACCCGAGUAGUCCCUGUCUCUUAUAA